This 933-nucleotide long non-coding RNA is filed under the name Elaeis guineensis (African oil palm). RNAcentral describes it as "long non-coding RNA (EGUI_LNC060090)". The record is from RNAcentral. Lineage: Eukaryota; Viridiplantae; Streptophyta; Magnoliopsida; Arecales; Arecaceae.
UCUUCUCUCACCUCUCUCUCUCUUUCUCUUCUCUCAAUCUGAUUUGUUUGCUAUAUAUCCAUAGGUAAAGACCAUCUCUAUUUAUAGAUGAACCCCAUAACCUAAUAAAUAUAAGACUCCUAACUCAAAUCUGAUUUGAAUCAGUCUAAUACUCAUAAAAGAAAAUUUUCUACAUGAGAUAUAAUUGCCAUCAUAUAUAACAACCACAUUGCACCCAAUCCCUCACCCACAUGGGAUGCCCCAAACCAGCACCAUUCUAGAUGUUGAUCAGCCCAUAUGAGAGAGAAAUCUCAAUGCAAGAAGGAUUUCUCACAUUUCAUUGAAAACGGAUCCGAUUCGAAUUCAAUUCGAAGCUGGUUCGAAAUAAUUUCAAAAGACUGUCAAUCCCAAACUCUUUAAGACUUUUGUACUAAGUCUAACUUGGAUUUUGGAUCCAAUUAAGCCUAAUUAAUUCAGAUCUAAUCUAAAAUUAAUUAGUAUUUAAAUCCAAUAUUUCAUAUGCUCCAUGGAUCAUAGAUCAGAAACUGUUCAUCCCCGAGAUCGAACCUGAACCUCAUGUAUAGUGCUAGCUAGACAUAAUCAACUCUUCAAUACUGUUUGACCCAUAACUUAAUUCUCAAUCAAGUUAGCUUAUAUGUUCAAUCAAAUCAAGUACUUCCAAAUUGGAUAUAUAAAUAUAGAUCAAUUUUUUUUUACUUUGUCUGACUUGUGUGCAUGACCCUAUAGGUUCAAACACUAAAUCGAUAGUAUAGAAACUAAUUUCUGCACUAAUCGAGAUACCAUCUAGCAAUGGUUCCCGACAUUCAGAUAGAUCAAAUUAUCAUAAAAAAAUAUUUCAGAAUCUAUAUAUAUGAUUACUGCAAAAUUCAUCUUUUUGACUCUGAAUGCUCUAGGAUGGUCUCAGGUUAACUAUCAAUCGAGAUUGCUCCAUCC